CUGUGACUAUCCUUGCUGUUCUGAUUUGUAAUUAUCUGGACAAGCUAAACGUUCACUGCAUUCAGACCACGCAGGUGUCCCCAGACCUAGUUCUUUCCCCAGGUCUGGUUUUAGCAAUGCUGGUGAUAAAC
This is a small nucleolar RNA of Jaculus jaculus (lesser Egyptian jerboa), 131 nucleotides long. Its record names the gene SNORA72. It matches the Rfam family "Small nucleolar RNA SNORA72". From Rfam's summary of the family: U72 is a member of the H/ACA class of snoRNAs. The snoRNA gene is located in intron 4 of the ribosomal L30 protein gene in human, mouse and chicken. The record is from Ensembl. NCBI's taxonomy places the organism in Eukaryota, Metazoa, Chordata, Mammalia, Rodentia, Dipodidae.